Molecule: RNA transcript, 6101 nt
Organism: Chinchilla lanigera (long-tailed chinchilla)
Lineage: Eukaryota; Metazoa; Chordata; Mammalia; Rodentia; Chinchillidae
Exons: 2
Source: RefSeq, a predicted model, not a curated record
ACCAGUGUGAUGUUUAUUGUCUUUCGUCCUUUUGAGUUUUCAGAAUGAAUACAUUUGUCUUUGUUUGAGGGAUGCAGGUAGUUAUAUUCUUUAUUGGAAAGAUAAGUAUCAUAAAAUUGCUUCUAGGAUAAUUUAUCUCGCUGCUCUUUGCAUUAGUGAGGAUGGUUUUGCUCCUGUUACGAAAUCUCCUCAAACCUCCCAUUGUAUGGGAGUCAGCAAUCGGGAAACCAAGAGUCAGGCAGAUGGCGAAGGCGGUGGAGAGUAGUGGGCGUUUGUUAUCCAGUGUUUCCUGGCACUGCUGGCUCACACACCUGUGUGCAGGUGACGCCCACAGCGGCUGGGAAGCGCCGGAUGUCACCUCAUGCAGGACAUCUAUCACCCUGACUCCUCGAGUGGAUGUUGGAGUGCUAAGAUGGGCUUUGCCUCUUCUGCAAGGUCUCCUUAAGCGAAGAGUGAGCAGAAAUAGCGGCUUUUAUUUGAGAUUCUACCCAGUGGAGUUCAGAAUCAGGCUGGGCCUGAACUCAUGAUCCUCCUGCCUCAGCCACCCCGAGUGUGGGGACUGCAGGUGUUCACUGGCACGCCCACCUAAGCAUCCCUGUCCUUAGCGGGACCGAAGUAUCUAGAUGGAUGUUUUCACGCCAGGCAGGGAUGAGUUUCCACCGGAGGCUCUCCCUUGUUGGCAGCAGAGCAUGGCUCUGACAGAUUGAAUCAAAAAAGGAACUUGUUAGGGAGCUACUGUGUCUCCGUGGAUGGAGGCGUUGGGGCGGAGGCCAGACUCGCCAGCCACCUGGGCAGGAAGAAGGCGGAGGCCAGGGACCGUCAGGACUGGCCCAGGAGAACUCCGCUGCCCUGGAGGCUGCACCUGCACGCACAGACAGGACCACGCACACGGCCAGGCCCCCUGGCCCUCCACUGCCGCUUCCAGGAGGGGUGGUACAGCGUACACAGGAAGGACGGAGUUGCCGGCUCUCCAGGGCCCCCUGCUGCUGGACUCAGGUGCGCUCCGUGGGGCACUUCUCAAGGGACUGGUGGGAAAGACUGCAGAUCCCGCGUGGGAGGAGCGGAAUGACAAACGUCCAUCAGAGCGGGAGCAGCUGAGACAAGCUGAGGCCAGGAGCUGGGGCGGCACAGGAAGGAGGCUGUCAGUGGGCCGCAGCUGGGAGGGAGGUCCGGGGUUUGUGCCCAGGGAAUACAGUUUGGCCAAAGCAGGGGGCAGCCAGGCGUCGUGACCAUAUCUCAUUGCGCAGUGUCACUUGCCAAGUAUGGGAAUUCUGUGUAAGAGGAACAGUGACUGGACGAGAAAGAUGAACACCUAUCCGUGCCGGGUGUAUUAGUUCUCUCGAGCUGCUGUUAAAAAAAAAUCACCAUGGACCAGGGGGCUUGAAAUGACAGAAACGGAUCCCCUUUCAGUCCUGGGGGCCGUAAGUCUAAAAUGAGGAUGUUGUGGGCUGUGCCCCGGGGGGCCGUGGGGUGAACUUGGUCAGGCCUUCUCCCGGAUGCUGCUGCUGCUGGCCACCCUGGGGGACACUGUUCCAGUAUCUGCCUCCUGUCCACACUGCCUGUCCCUUGGGCUGCGUCUUCACAGGGCAUCUGCUCUCUGGAAAGCGAGUUACCUGCCCCCCAAGCUCAGGCAGGGCCAGUGUGGGUAGCCAUUUCCAGUCCAAAGGGAGAAACAGGAAGAAGGCUCACAGUCCCGAGAAACUCGCAGGCACGAGGGUAACUCUGUGGCCAGAUGCUCCGUCCCUGCCCUCUGGGCUGGCAGCCGCAGCGCAGCCUCAUCUGCCUGUGAGCUGUCCCCGCCGUCCUCUGAGUCACGCGUCCCUUGACUUGAAGGAGGAUGUGUGUCUGUAGCCACGUAGCUUCCUGUCUGCGCGGAUUCCACAGUGUUUAGAACAUUGACCCGUAGCAGAAUGGUCAGCUCCUGCCGGCCUGAGGACGGCAGCUCCAGGCUCACGUCUGUGCACACUGAUUGCCGCUCGCACCAGCCCCGCCACGGUGCCAUCCCUCCCUGGAGCUCGGUGUGCGCCUCCCCAGGCCGGACCUGAGAAGAGGGACAGCCAGCGUGUCUGGGUGCAGGAACGCCCAGAUGUCAGCCUCCUCCUGCAGGGGCUCCCCGCGUUGGACUUGGCUUGCUUUCCUUGUCUUUUCCGCCAGCAAGGGAGUCUCUGAGCAGAGAAUCUCCCUCCUUGUCCUUUCUGCUGUCUGCUGCCCGGGUCGGCACCAAAGCCAAAUGUGUGCUGAUCUGAAUACGAUGCUCCCAGCCCCCGGGAAGUCUGCAGUCAGGCUGGGACCUGCUGCAGACUCUAGUAAGCAGAGGCCUGCAGCCGGGUGCAUGCUGAGGGCACAGCUGAGCUUUCUGCAGAGAUGUGAUGUGAUUACAAGUGGGACGGUGGCCCAGGCCUGCUCAGAUGAGCAAAGGGCAGGCUCUGAACCCAGAGGAGGGAGAGAUGUUAACUCUGGCGCUUAUCAUCCAGUCUGGGGAAAGGAGCCCAGGAAAAUGCGGCUCCUGAAGGCGGAGGUGGAAGAGCGGCGGGGCUUUGGCUGCAAAGGAGGCACCAAGGGUGCGUCGGGCUGACAGCCUGGGCCCCGGGCAGCGUGUCCUGGGGGCUGCCUGCCACCCACGUAGUGUGCGCCUGGUAAGUACUCCCUGUCGCUAAGUGAUGAUACACCAGAGGCUGACCCUGCACAUGUGCCACAAGCCAGUUCCCACGGGUGGACACACGUGUGAUGCGGUGGCCCUGGUGGCUCCUUUCUGGCUCACAGGCACCGGGCGUCUGGCUGACUUCUGAAAAGUGAGGCCUGCACAGGAUGUGUGUUGGGGGGGACAUCAGGGACCCAGAGCUGGCUAGGGACACGGGCCAGUGGGGGACUGCAUUUAUGCAAAUGUACGGGAGUGACGUUCCCCUGAGAGCAGCACCAGGGAGUGUGUGAGGGAGACGUCCUGGCGGGCCGCUGUCCCUUAAAUGGGGCCACGGCUGCACAGGGGCCUCAACCAGGCCCGGCCAGCAGGGAAGAUGUGGGUCCUUGGUCCAGGUCUGGAGUCUACGCCAGCUCCGAGCUGAUCACCCUUUGUGAGCUUGGCAGCGUGAAAGCAGGUGUCACCCAGGGCAGCACUCUAGGUCUCAGGAGACCCUGUGCACGUCACUCUAGUAAGAGCUGCCAGGGGCUCCUCAGGCAGCAGCAGGACCCGCUCCCCCACCCCCUCUCACCCCACUGUCCCUCUGCCUGCGACGCAGAAGCAGUUCCGAACUGCGCAGUGGAGAACCCAGUGGGGACCUGGACAGUCGGCCCUCAGGACGUUUUCCUUGUGAGAAUUCUGCAUCUGCGCUACACACACUGCACGCACCUCUACCCUUCCCUCUCUGUACCGUGUGUACGCGUGUCUGUGCGCACACACACGAGCGCACAUCACUCACACAUGCACACAUGCAGCAUGGUUUAGAAGGACGUCGGCCUGGGUUCAGUCUGUAUUCCCUGGGGCACCGAAACACUCCUGUAAAACAGCUACAUAUAAAACAACCGUUUUAGUUCCUUUAAAUCCCUUUGCGUUAUCUCUCAGAAAUAAUUACGGUCUAAAGAAAGUUUAGGUUGAAGUGUUUAUGAGUAAAGUGGACAUUUUUUAGCUUGGGUUAUCCACCAAAUUUUACGCUCAACUGGAUCAGCACCCGGGCAGGGCCAGUCUAAGCUAACCCGUGACCCGGAAGAACCUAAGAUCCACUAACUCCAAAACAGUUGCUCCCGCUGGACCUGCAGAGGCCUGGUUUCACACUGUGGGGGCGCCUUGGGCUGCGGGAGUCCUGACAGAGAGCAGAACCACGCGAAAUCCCACCAGAGACGUGCAAGGCGCCCGUCACACACGGCUGCCAGUGAGCCUCAGGGACGGCAGAGACGCAGAGGAGCUGUGCCGGGAGUCCCUGGGCAGCGACAGAGCUGGGGCGGCACGGGGGUGAUGGGGGCUCCGCCCUGAGGGAGGUCCUGCUUGUGGGGCAGGUGCAGCAAGGCUAGGUGGGCAGCCUUGGACAAAGAGGACGUCCUCAGUGUGGCUUCAGCAAGAGAGCACAAGGGCCACAGGGGACAGGCUCCCGGCGCUGGCCCAUGUGGGAGUGGUCAGUCCCACAGCUGCCAGCGAAGGUCCAGGUCGGCCCAGCGGAGCCCACAGAGAGGAGUCCCCGCAGCUGUGGGGGAAUCGUGGCUGCGAACUUCCAGGAGGGUCUUCCGGGAGGCCGUCCCUGCUCAGCUGUUGGACUGGACUGUCCUGCUGCCGGUGACAGUCCCAUAACUCAGCCAGCUCUCACCCGAGCCCGUGGCCAGAUGAUCCCGCGGCUCCGCCUCUUGGCAGCUGUCCCUGGGUCACCUUCCUUGGCGCGGUCUUACCUCGCAGUCGGAGACUUUUAUGCAGUGUAGCGCAUUUUCCUCUCGCAGAUUUGCUCUUUGCUGACCUCCGCGGGCUUGCCUCCUCCUCCUCUAGCGUCUUUGCCCAGGGGUUCCGGGUCAGCCGGACUUAGCUUUCUGUCCCUCUGCCAGGUUCAGGGCUGAGCUCUCCACCGCCCCUGCCAAGGAAAACACGCAGACUCCAUAUUAUACUUUGCAGAUUACUCCUCGAUUAAUCCCAGCACUCUGUCCCUUUGCCCAAGGACCUUUCCUGGUCCCCUGACCUUGCCAGCUAGCUCAGAUGUCUUCAGGUGCCCGCCGUGCUCUUGUAUUUUUCUGGGUCUACAGUGGGGAGGGGCUGAAGUGGCUCCACCUGCCCUGCAGGGGCCACAGGUCCUGGCUAAUGAUGGUGGUUUGAGGCAAGUGUUUUAAAAACGCCUUAGAUUUUCUUUUCACACAGAGAGUUCCAACCUUGAGGAAGCUGGGGACUUUUCCAUCAUUUGGUUUAAUGAAGAGCAAUUAAUUUUUCAAUGGUCCGGGGCUUUGUGUCUUUGUUUUUUCACUUUGAUUCCUCUAUGUGUGAUAGCACAAAGGCACUGUCUGAGAACAGGUGCCGCGGGACAAACCGACUCGGGGUCAGGGUUGGCUUGAAACAGCGCGUAAGAGUGAAACGGAGCUCCCUCGGUGUCAGGAGCCGGAAUGACACAUUCUGGCCUCUGGACAUAUUCUUUGGUUUUCGGUGUUGGGGCGGUGCCAGGGCCUGCUGCCACGGCGCAAGCGCUCUACCGCUGAGCCUUGCCUCCAGCCCCUGGACACGACUCAGUCUCUCAGAAACCCCUGACCUCCCGGCUGGCCGAGGCAGGCGGUGAGAAUGCGGGGUUCUUCGUACCUCGUCCCGGAGUACGCUUGUCUGCUUCUCAGAUUCCCGAGCCCUUGGCUCUGCCACCCUGCGUUUCUCCAUUUCUAGUAGGAGGAGGGUUGCACAGCACCAGGAGACACAAAGGAGCGUUACCGUCCCGUCUCCCCGCAGAGCCAGAAGCCUCGUGACCUCAGAAGCUGGAAACCGAGUUCCCACUGCAGCGCCGAGCGCGGCGGCCUCCCCGGGACCCAGCAAGGCACCGUCCAUGAGCAGCCCGGCCCCUGUCCGACGCUUUUGGCCUCCAAAGCUUUGCAUGUGCUGCUCUUUGCCUCAAGCCCCGCAGGGAGAACUUGGUCCUGCCGGGCCACCUGCCGGCUUUUCCUGUGCAGAACCAGUCUCUCCAUGCAGGCCACCCAAACCAAACCCCCUGCUCUGGGCCUUGCCGGCAGAAGUGCAUUCUGCAGGCUGUGGGUGCAGCUCCCUUCCUGGCUCGAAGGCAGCCGCCUGCGUGCUUGUCCUCACCUGCGGCCGAGGCUGGAAGGACCUCUCUUGCCUCCUGCUAUAAGGACGCUGAUCCCAAAGGGAGAGCCCUGUGCUGGGCUUAUCUGACUGUGGUCACCUGCCAGAGGCCACCUCCAGGUUCCCUCAGCUUGGGGGAUUAACGCAUGAGUUUUGACAGGAUGAGCAACUUCGGACCAUAGUACACAGUAGCACAGGCAGGAGCGGUGGGUCAAAUGCGGCCCCUGAGCCAUGCGUGGCACCGGGGUACUCCAGAUGCGGCUGGGGAGAGGCUGUGGACUGCAAAGUGCACAGAGUUUCCAAGGCUUACUACGAAAAUAUAUCCUAAAAGUAAUUAAAAAUUUUGAUUACA